This 608-nucleotide ribosomal RNA is filed under the name uncultured Bacteroidota bacterium. RNAcentral's name for it is "bacterial SSU rRNA". It matches the Rfam family "Bacterial small subunit ribosomal RNA", at positions 367 to 975 of the family's 1533-position model. Lineage: Bacteria; Pseudomonadati; Bacteroidota. The record is from RNAcentral.
GACAAUGGGCGAGAGCCUGAUCCAGCCAUGCCGCGUGCAGGAAGACUGCCCUAUGGGUUGUAAACUGCUUUUGUAUAGGAAGAAACCUUUCCUCGUGAGGAAAAUUGACGGUACUAUACGAAUAAGGAUCGGCUAACUCCGUGCCAGCAGCCGCGGUAAUACGGAGGAUCCAAGCGUUAUCCGGAAUCAUUGGGUUUAAAGGGUCCGUAGGUGGACAAAUAAGUCAGAGGUGAAAUCCUGCAGCUCAACUGUAGAACUGCCUUUGAUACUGUUUGUCUUGAGUUAUUAUGAAGUGGUUAGAAUGUGUAGUGUAGCGGUGAAAUGCAUAGAUAUUACACAGAAUACCGAUUGCGAAGGCAGAUCACUAAUAAUUAACUGACACUGAUGGACGAAAGCGUGGGUAGCGAACAGGAUUAGAUACCCUGGUAGUCCACGCCGUAAACGAUGGUCACUAGCUGUUUGGACUUCGGUCUGAGUGGCUAAGCGAAAGUGAUAAGUGACCCACCUGGGGAGUACGUUCGCAAGAAUGAAACUCAAAGGAAUUGACGGGGGCCCGCACAAGCGGUGGAGCAUGUGGUUUAAUUCGAUGAUACGCGAGGAACCUUACC